UGGACAGGAAACGACGGAGACGCGCAGCGUGUCUCCCUCCUCAGCAGGGAGAGAAGAAUGGGAGAGGGACCGGGAUUGUGUGUGUAGACGAGGCGACGACGGGUGAAAACAUGAGGAUAACGGGCUGUUUUUAACUAGAUAUAUCUUCUAAAAUCAUAAUUAAACCCAUCAUAUCAGGAGUCUCCUCAUUCCUCCCCCCGAGGGCAGGGAUAUCUGCUCUCCCAUUGGAGAACACAGGAAAGGAGCCUCUUUGUGAAUCCCGUCUGACUAGGAGAACAGCCCUGUCGCAGAGUGGAGUCUGAACUUUAACCCCAGUAGGAAGGAGAGAAAGCCACUUCAGAGGGCCGGUUCGGAGCUGGAGCUUGAAAAGCACCGGGUUUUCCUGUUCACACCGCAGCGGAGCAGCCUCUUAGCUCCGGAAUCCGGUUCGUUUCAAGCAACAAAAAAUUGUCCGGCUAG
Molecule: long non-coding RNA, 459 nt
Organism: Gymnodraco acuticeps
Lineage: Eukaryota; Metazoa; Chordata; Actinopteri; Perciformes; Bathydraconidae
Exons: 3
Source: RefSeq, a predicted model, not a curated record